GCGCAUCAGCCCCCCCCCCCCCCCCCCCUGUUCCUCUACUGCCAUUGGAGACAGGAUGCUUUGUAAAAGAAGCAGUCAGACUGAUAAAAGGCCUGAGUGGUGCAACGCUUGAAGAAAUUGAAGCAGGAGCCAAGGGUUGGCUGAAGAACUGCCGAGCAUGCGUAAAUAGCGCCACAAAAAGGAAGCUUCCACGAGUCUGAGAGUUAAGAAACUUCCAUGAGUCAGCCGGAAACUUCCUCAAGUCAUCUGGAUUGCAAGCCAUUAUUUCAUUUCUUAUUGUUUUAAAACUAAUAAGCAGUGCAUUGAAAGCUUCAAUUAUAUUUACGUACCUAUUUUACUAAUAAACAUGUUUUUACAGUUCUU
Molecule: long non-coding RNA, 363 nt
Organism: Ixodes scapularis (black-legged tick)
Lineage: Eukaryota; Metazoa; Arthropoda; Arachnida; Ixodida; Ixodidae
Exons: 3
Source: RefSeq, a predicted model, not a curated record